Bos taurus (domestic cattle) is the source of this 355-nucleotide long non-coding RNA. The record is from Ensembl. Lineage: Eukaryota; Metazoa; Chordata; Mammalia; Artiodactyla; Bovidae.
UUAACAGCCUGAGGUAACAGCGAACAGUGAAAGAAUGCUGAAGCCUCAGGAGAGAUGAGUGAACCCACAGAAGAGGAGGGAAGGGAGCCAGCAGGGAGGGAAGACGGAGUUCAUUGCUGAGCGAUUCCUUGGGUGGUCUCACCUUGGAGUCUUCAACUGCUGUCCAGUUUCAAACACCUAAUCUGUGACUAAAGAAAAAAUGAUGAAGAGAAAGGAGUCAAUCUGGGUGACCAGCUGGUGUCUGAACACAGGUGCAUCGGAAGCACUCCUGUGACCUCAGCGCCUCUCCCUGGAUACGCCCACCCCAGGCAAUUCCAAGCCUCCACCGGAGACCUCAAGGCAGCCCCAGCAGCAC